This 73-nucleotide transfer RNA is filed under the name Candidatus Doudnabacteria bacterium RIFCSPHIGHO2_02_FULL_46_11. RNAcentral describes it as "tRNA-Thr". It matches the Rfam family "tRNA". From Rfam's summary of the family: Transfer RNA (tRNA) molecules are approximately 80 nucleotides in length. Their secondary structure includes four short double-helical elements and three loops (D, anti-codon, and T loops). Further hydrogen bonds mediate the characteristic L-shaped molecular structure. tRNAs have two regions of fundamental functional importance: the anti-codon, which is responsible for specific mRNA codon recognition, and the 3' end, to which the tRNAs corresponding amino acid is attached (by aminoacyl-tRNA synthetases). tRNAs cope with the degeneracy of the genetic code in two manners: having more than one tRNA (with a specific anti-codon) for a particular amino acid; and 'wobble' base-pairing, i.e. permitting non-standard base-pairing at the 3rd anti-codon position. Lineage: Bacteria; Candidatus Doudnaibacteriota. The record is from RNAcentral.
GCGGGAGUAGCUCAGUUGGUAGAGCGGCUGAUUUGUAAUCAGCAGGUCGCCGGUUCGAGUCCGGUCUCCCGCU